AGAAAAGUAAGCUAAAAGUAAGCUAGUGGGUUCAUACCCCAUUCAUGGAGAUUCUUCUCUCUUCUCUA
RNAcentral lists this transfer RNA (68 nucleotides) under Neogeoscapheus hanni. RNAcentral's name for it is "tRNA-Met". The record is from RNAcentral. Lineage: Eukaryota; Metazoa; Arthropoda; Insecta; Blattodea; Blaberidae.